AUUUUCUAUAUUGUGUUUUGUGUACUGCUGGUUUCAUAUAAAUAAGUUUUUUGUUCAUGUUAUAGGUGUGAUUGUGGAAACUGCCAUUCCAUGACAACAACAAAUUAAUGUGUAUGCUGUUCAGACAUAUCAGCUGUAAGCUAUUUAAAGCAAACAGAUGACUUUAACUGCAUCACAGAACAUGAAAUCUUUAUUGCCAACUGCUUAAACCGUCAUGUGUUGCAAAUCAGCAUGUAUGCAUACAUGGAGCAUGUUGGUCCAUUUGACGACAAUGAACCCAUCAAUGAGUAAGUUUUGAAAUAAGUCAUGAUAGUAGUAGGCUAGGUUCAUGUUCAUGUUGGACCAAUUUCAAAUCAAUUAUUGUUAUAUUGAAUCCAUGUUCAUGAUGUUUUCGAGACAAUACUAGUGACUUCAAUAUUUUUAAUUGUACAGAGUAAGUACAAUCAUUGACAAUUCAAUAAAGAAAAUAACAUGAUGAAUUAAAAUAAUAAUUUAAUAUCACAGAUAAUUUCAUAAUUCAAAUAUCAUAGAUACAAUUUGUGUAUACAUAAUAUAUUUCAAAGCAUAUUUAACACGUAGAAAGGCCCAAGUUAUUUCAUGUCAUUAUAGUAAUAUACAUAGGUAGCAAAUAUAUACAUGGCAGUACACCUUAGGUAAUAUUUAUAAAUCCUAAAUAUUUCUUUUUAACCUAAAUACAAUACAAAAUGACAGGUACAACAGAUUUAAAAUGUUUCGGUCUUUCGAAAAUAAAAAAAAAAGUCAAUAAGUAAUUUUUCAUUAUAACUUUCAUUGUAUGUUUGUAAAUAUAUUUACAUCAGUUAAAAGUAUGGUACUGAAAGUUGUAUAUGAAUAUAAUUAAUGUUUUGAUUUGUAGGAAAUAUAGGUUUAUGGCAUAUAGGAGAUUUGUUCAGUGGAUAUGGCAUCGCCUUGGACGUCACAACAGAAAGAUCUUGCCUGCAUGUGUUGUGAAAAAAAUUAGAGACAGUUUCCCAUCUGAAGAAUACUGUGGCUUCAAAUAUGCAGUUGUAUGAAUUAAGUUUGGACUGAUUACUUUUUGUAACUAUUAAUUUUGAAUGAAACACUCGUAUUAAUAAAAACAUUGACUUUUUGUCUUUGCAUAGUAGAUC
RNAcentral lists this long non-coding RNA (1127 nucleotides) under Mytilus galloprovincialis (Mediterranean mussel). Lineage: Eukaryota; Metazoa; Mollusca; Bivalvia; Mytilida; Mytilidae. The record is from RNAcentral.